This 777-nucleotide ribosomal RNA is filed under the name Enterococcus faecium. RNAcentral describes it as "bacterial SSU rRNA". It matches the Rfam family "Bacterial small subunit ribosomal RNA", at positions 29 to 774 of the family's 1533-position model. The record is from RNAcentral. Lineage: Bacteria; Bacillati; Bacillota; Bacilli; Lactobacillales; Enterococcaceae.
ACACGCGUGGGGCGGGCGUUGCCUUAUACAUGCAAGUCGAACGCUUCUUUUUCAACCGGAGCUUGCUCCACCGGAAAAAGAGGAGUGGCGAACGGGUGAGUAACACGUGGGUAACCUGCCCAUCAGAAGGGGAUAACACUUGGAAACAGGUGCUAAUACCGUAUAACAAUCGAAACCGCAUGGUUUUGAUUUGAAAGGCGCUUUCGGGUGUCGCUGAUGGAUGGACCCGCGGUGCAUUAGCUAGUUGGUGAGGUAACGGCUCACCAAGGCCACGAUGCAUAGCCGACCUGAGAGGGUGAUCGGCCACAUUGGGACUGAGACACGGCCCAAACUCCUACGGGAGGCAGCAGUAGGGAAUCUUCGGCAAUGGACGAAAGUCUGACCGAGCAACGCCGCGUGAGUGAAGAAGGUUUUCGGAUCGUAAAACUCUGUUGUUAGAGAAGAACAAGGAUGAGAGUAACUGUUCAUCCCUUGACGGUAUCUAACCAGAAAGCCACGGCUAACUACGUGCCAGCAGCCGCGGUAAUACGUAGGUGGCAAGCGUUGUCCGGAUUUAUUGGGCGUAAAGCGAGCGCAGGCGGUUUCUUAAGUCUGAUGUGAAAGCCCCCGGCUCAACCGGGGAGGGUCAUUGGAAACUGGGAGACUUGAGUGCAGAAGAGGAGAGUGGAAUUCCAUGUGUAGCGCUGAAAUGCGUAGAUAUAUGGAGGAACACCAGUGGCGAAUGCGGCUCUCUGGUCUGUAACUGACGCUGAGGCUCGAAAGCGUGGGGAGCACCAG